UGCACCCUUAUAAAGUGUGGGGCGCCCAGGCCUAUGGGUUGCCUGAGUUUUUAGGGUUUGUAGGUUAUUUAAGGACACUUAAGUCUCUAGGGUUAGAUCAUUCUCAGCCUCUAUCGACCCUAGAGAAUGUUUCCAGCAAACCCUAGUCAUCUUCUCCCAUAUUUGAGCUUAGAAUCCUCUUUGAGAACUUAUUUUUAUCAUUUUGGUGGUUAAAGCUAAUAGAAGAAGGCUCCAUCUUGGUGUGUAGAAGCAAAGGAGCAUUGUAGAUCCAUAAAGCUUACUUAUCUUCUAAACUUUUUCCCAUCUUGUUGGUAAGCUUGGACCUGAGAUGACUCCAACUCCUUCUAAUUAGCGACUCGAUCAAGCCUAGAAACUCAAUUGUUUUAUCACGUAGAGGGUGCGGGGCACCCUUAUGGGGGGUGGUGCGUUUUUUGACCGGAAUAUGAUAUUUUAUUGACUUUUGACUAAGUUUGACUUUGGGUUUAUGGUUUUAGGUCUUAGGUUAUGGUUGACCUUGAGUUAUACGUUUAGAUGGUUAUUGUAUCAGUCUUCAGCCGCUGCAAGCUAUAGUGAUUGUGUGAUUGUAAGGUUGAUCUUGAGAUACUUAAAUUUGAUUAUAUGAAUGUCGUAUAGGACAUUAACAAUAUUUGGGUAGAUAUUGUUGGUAGUGAGGAUAGUGCGGAAUUUGAGUUUCAAGAAUCAAAUUUGGAAAAUUUAGCGAA
Molecule: long non-coding RNA, 722 nt
Organism: Lactuca sativa (garden lettuce)
Lineage: Eukaryota; Viridiplantae; Streptophyta; Magnoliopsida; Asterales; Asteraceae
Source: RefSeq, a predicted model, not a curated record